This 1457-nucleotide long non-coding RNA is filed under the name Coturnix japonica (Japanese quail). RNAcentral's name for it is "lncRNA (ENSCJPG00005000070.1)". Lineage: Eukaryota; Metazoa; Chordata; Aves; Galliformes; Phasianidae. The record is from RNAcentral.
AAUCUUUAUAAUAUUCCGGUUAGCAUCUGAUUUCUCUCACUUUUUAAAAACAGAUUGGAACUGAUAUUGCAAUCUAACAUGAUGUCAAAGUCCUGCAGAGGUUCAAAUCUGAGUUUUUUGAAAUACUGCUUUUGAAAUGCAAGAAUCUGCAAUAUGGAAAAUUUUUGGAAAGUGGUGAAUCAAUUUUAUUUCAUCAUGAAAAUUAGAUUAUGCCUUCUAUAUUUCCCUUAAAGACUUUCAUUUUGAUUCAUAUAUCAGAUAAUUACCAUAACUAGAACUACUGGGCUAUUAAGACACAUGAUGCACACUGCCAUUUUAAAUACCAUGUGCUACUUCCCCACUUAAAAGACUGUCCAAAAAAAAGGGGGGAUACUAUUGUUUUCUGAGCAAAAAGUAUUGAAAAAGAUUAGUUCACAGCACCAGGCUUUUAUUUUUCUUAGCUUCACUUUCAGGGCGCUGAAGAAGGGGAACGGAAUCUUGGGAUAAAUAACUCAGUGGUCAGUGAAUGGGUUAAAAAAGAAAUCCGAUACAAACUUUCCUGUUGUGGAUAUCAGAUUACAUUUCCUCCAUCCUGAACUGGCCUAAUUUUUUAUCAUCUAUGCUUCCAAUUCUCAAGGGAAAAGACGUAAGUGCUUUAUUUUUAAUGUAAAGCCCAUGCGGUCAGUGGGUAUAAGAUUGAAAUUUUUGCCAAGGUCCCUGAUAAAUGUCCACUGACACUGUCAAAGAUACAAGAAAUUUGAGCUGCGUUUUCCUUUUAUUUUUGUUGUGGCAUUUUCAAAUCCACUCCUGCCUUUCAAAACAUUGUUCCCUGAAGCUCUUUUUGGAUAAUACAGCGUGGAUGCAUGCAUAUCAUAGAUAAUAUUCCCAGCUCACUGAGCAUCAAGGUAUUUGCUUAUUUACUAUGUGUGAAGUAAAGUCGCAGAGUGAAAUGGAUUUCUUAUGCCUCAAGAACAUACUUUCCAUCACAGAUACAGGCCGCAAUAUUCUGGAUCAUGCUGAAACGGUAUGUGUUUUCCCUUUGACAUCCUGUACUGGCAUAGCAAAUAGUUUCUUUAAGUACCACUUGUUCAGUAAGUAUAUCAAAAUUGAAGCCAAAGAAGAUGAAUCAUAUGUGAGGAAAGAGAUCAAGGAGCAGUUUACUUUUAAAAUGUCACUAAAAUGUUUUGUUUUUUUCCUUUCAAAGAAAAUAAUAUUUGACUGCAAUAAUAAGAUAUCUGUACUUUUCAGGGCUUUAUGUAUAGAACUGAUUGCCAACAGAAAUUACUUCAUUUUCAUUUAUUACAUCUGCUUGACAGUAAUUCUUAAGUGUCGAUUGUUUCUAACUCUAAUUUCCAAGACUAUGAUUCAUAUACUUGAGUUAUAUGAAAAGAUAGAAAAAGAUAGAAAUACAUUUCAAAGAAAUGCCUAUCAGUUGCUCAAGAAAACUUCGUAGAAAUGUUUUAAAUUAACCAAUAAAU